Molecule: ribosomal RNA, 253 nt
Filed under: uncultured bacterium
Lineage: Bacteria
Description: partial 16S ribosomal RNA
Rfam family: Bacterial small subunit ribosomal RNA
Source: RNAcentral
UACGGGGGGAGCAAGCGUUGUUCGGAUUUACUGGGCGUAAAGGGCGCGUAGGCGGCGCAACAAGUCACUUGUGAAAUCUCCGGGCUUAACCCGGAGCGGCCAAGUGAUACUGUCGUGCUAGAGUGCGGAAGGGGCUACUGGAAUUCUCGGUGUAGCGGUGAAAUGCGUAGAUAUCUGGAGGAAUACCGGUGGCGAAGGCGGCAUCCUGGACCGACAUUGACGCUGAUGAGCGAAAGCUAGGGGAGCAAACGGG